This 164-nucleotide ribosomal RNA is filed under the name uncultured bacterium. RNAcentral describes it as "partial 16S rRNA". It matches the Rfam family "Bacterial small subunit ribosomal RNA", at positions 355 to 511 of the family's 1533-position model. The record is from RNAcentral.
UAGGGAAUCUUCCACAAUGGACGCAAGUCUGAUGGAGCAACGCCGCGUGAGCGAAGAAGAUCUUCGGAUCGUAAAACUCUGUUGUUAGAGAAGAACACGAGUGAGAGUAACUGUUCAUUCGAUGACGGUAUCUAACCAGCAAGUCACGGCUAACUACGUGCCAG